Molecule: ribosomal RNA, 273 nt
Filed under: uncultured bacterium
Lineage: Bacteria
Description: partial 16S ribosomal RNA
Rfam family: Bacterial small subunit ribosomal RNA
Source: RNAcentral
CCGCCGGCGACCGGCGCACGGGUGAGUAACACGUAUGCAACCUGGCCGUGACAGAUGGAUAACCGGGAGAAAUCCCGCCUAAUACAACAUAAUGCCGGGAGGGGACAUCCCCUGCCGGCCAAAGGGGGCGACCCCGGUCACGGAUGGGCAUGCGGCGCAUUAGGUGGUUGGUGGGGCAACGGCCCACCAAGCCGACGAUGCGUAGGGGUUCUGAGAGGAAGGUCCCCCACAUUGGAACUGAGACACGGUCCAAACUCCUACGGGAGGCAGCAG